Molecule: long non-coding RNA, 4289 nt
Organism: Dermochelys coriacea (leatherback sea turtle)
Lineage: Eukaryota; Metazoa; Chordata; Testudines; Dermochelyidae
Exons: 7
Source: RefSeq, a predicted model, not a curated record
GGAUCAUUACAGGAUUGGCUAAACGCAUUGUCUUUGGGGUUAGAUCUAAGGUACCAAUUGACCUGGGGUAAGUGACUGGUCUCUUGGGACUGGAAGGAACCUGAAUGUGGUGGGAUUUUCUUGGUGUCAGUGACCAUUUAUCACUAAAUCCUGUUUGUCUGGGUGGCAAGAUAGACUGGAGAGUCAAAAAGGACUGUCUGUGACUUCAUGGUAAGAGUGUUAAAGUGAUCCAGGAGUUCAUGUUUGUUGCUGGCCUGGUGAAAUCUAAUUACAGGACACACAACCAGUUUGGGGUAACUGCCCUGUUUUUGAGUCUGUCCUGAGGUAGGCACUUAUAGUUGUGAGCCACUCCAGACAGCAAGAGGGGGUGUUCACCCCAUAUCAGCCUGGAAAGGGUUAAUGAGGUUGAGAAGUGGACCACUGAACUUGAUGGGACACAACUGAGGGGAAUUAGACUGGAUAAGCAACCCCUCGUUGGGAAUAGAGCCAAGCUGAGAAGGACAGGUGGGGCUAUAAUACAGGAAUAUACAGGAAGCAGGCAAUGGAAGAGGGUCUGAAGUGUGGAGGACUGUGGCCACUCUCCAGCUGUAGAGAGGGAAAGGAGGAAACCCAGGGGAAAAUGGAAGUUCUGGUGUUAUGAGAGACCUGGACUUGACAUGACCUGCAGCCAUGUUGUAUAUGGAUUGAGCAUAACCCGCAGCCAGUUUGUAUGCUCAGCCACCAUUACUUGGAAACGGAAACCAUAGUAAAUUUGGCCUUGGCUUAGAAUCCCAGCUGCAGCAUUGAUAACAGGGUAGAUAGAGGAAAAUCACAGUUUCAUGGGAAUAGAAGGGGUUAUGGAGAAGCUAACCUUUAGUUUCUGCAUGUUUCUUACUCGGUGCUUGUGUGAGUUUUUGUGAAAAGUUGCUUUUUCUGGUAAGUAGAAAUUGUGAGGUUUUGCUGUCACUAGAGAAAUUGUUUGAGCCCAUCAGGAGUUCUGAUUGGUUAAAUUUAUUGCAUAGUCAUACUUUAAGUAAACUAAUUGGUUUGGGUAUAGAUAAGAGACUCUCAUUUUACCUAUGUAAUGCGGGUUAGAAGAGAAGCCAGUUGGAACCUAACUCUGGGACACUCCUUAAGACCAAAGCUGCUGGAACUCUUACAACCUGCAUGACCAUACCAUAGAGCAGCAAGAGCCCCAGAUGAAAUCUGAUCCUGACUGGCCAUCAGGAAACAUCUGUCUGCAUUUUUAGGAGUGAUGCCAGUGCCUAGCUCCCCCAGGAAAGAAGAAGAACAUGUGGGCCAGGUAUAAAUCUCGAGACGGGCGGCCAUGACAGGUACCAACAAGGAAAUGUAACAGCACGCUAAACUCAGGACCGGACCGGAAGCAGUAGAGCCCUCCCGCGGAUCCGAAGGGACUUCAGGGACUCUCAUCACCUCGCAGCCAGUCUCUGGUCAGCUGUUGCCUGGCCAGCCUCAGCCACUUGCAAAAUCAAAACCAACAUCCAUGCCUGAAGCUUGCCAGCAUGAAAGAGUUGUGUGUGUGAAUCUUGAAGAAACACAAGAGAGCCAACAGUGUGUGCAGAGACUUAGAAAUAUUGUCAUCAUCAACAGCUGUUUUGUCCUGAAAAAAUGAAACAAGUGGUGGAGAGAUUGAGCUAUGUCCCUCUAAAACUUACUCUUUUCCACCCCAAGUUUUGAAAUGGUGAAGAAGAGGUAUAGGGAAAAACACCAUUGCUCAAAGAUCUCAGACAAUCAGAGAUGAUGUUCUGAGCCACAUUAAAGAGAGGAUUAAAGAUGUAAGUUUUAUCAUACUUAUGAUCAGGUUUAGUGGAAUUAGCUGGUCUUCCACUCAGGAAAGGCAACACAGUUCAGGGGCUAUUUGCUGGCAAUGCUGGAGUUCCUCAGAGAUGAGGAUGAGGCUAAGAGGAUGGCAGGGCAGACAGUGAAAGCUCUCCAGAAUACAGUUUGCCACUUGGAACAAGAAGAAGUGGUCACAGUUGUGCUUUUGCAAUGUCCCCAACUAGCUCUGCUACUCUUCAACGGUGAGAAAGAAAGGGCCCACUUUGCUGUUAUGGUUGCAUUUGGCAAAACGUGAAGGUGCCUGGAAAAACUUAAACUUGGUACCAUCAGCCUCCUGAGUGAAAUGUACUGCAUCCUGCUUCUCAUGCAGGUACAAGGGUCCUGACAUGUUCAAGGCAUGUGAAGACAUAGAGACUGGUUGGGGUGGAUAUGGUAUGUGCAAACGAUCAGUCACAAGUAGGUCUGGCCAAAGGAAGGGGAUGGUGGGGAUCAAUAUAACUCAGAAUCUGUGAAAAAAAUAUGCGUGGCAUAGAUCCUUUACAUCAGAUAUGUUCAGAGCCCCACUGCUUUCGAUGGAGCUUUAUGUGAGCUGAAAGAUUUGCCCUGGUGCAUCUGAUUGUAGGAUUGGGUCCUUUGUUUAUGUGGGCAGUGUAAGAUUUAAGAUUGCCAUAGCUAUUUGAAGUUUUUUUGUUUUCAGAAUGACCCAGGUUUUGUUUAUUUUUGACCUUUCAUUUUCUCUUGUGUGCAGGUAAAUGAAGAUAGUGUGUUAAAUCAGUGGGGUGAACGUGUCACCUGAUUAGUAAAAUAAAGGAGUGAGUGGUGCAGGACUAGCUAACAAUGAAUCCUGCAGAGACAGCCCUGCCUCAUUCCAUGUGGACCUCACAAUUUAGGUGCAUUCACUAGGUAGCUAUGUUAGUGAUACAUACCAGUACAGUGCACCUGACCUUCACUUCAAACACUGCUGAAGCGUCAUAGCACAUGACAUGUCUGAUCCAAGGCUAGAAAACCACGUCUCCUGAUUGCACAAGCAGCAGCUAAGCCAGUAGGAUGCAGUGCCUGCUAGACACCUCCCUGAACCUCUGUGUCCCACUUAGCCACCUUUUGUAAGGUGGGGUAACAAAGUUUUGCAUUUACAAAGCACUUUUUCAUCCUAAGACCUCAACACACCUUACAAAGGUGGUUAAGCAUUAGUAGCCCAUUUUACACUUGACUGAAGUACAGAGACUUGAAGCAAUCUGUAUGAGAGUACUGUGCUCUAGUGAGAAAAGAAAUGGCUUUACCAUUUCAGAGUGCUGGGGGAGGAGCAUCUAUAUUCCGGGAUCCACCAAAAGCCUCCUCUGGCAACUUGUUUAAACUCUGUUACUCUCAUUUGGAAAAUGGCCCUGUAGAGGAUGCGGAAGGAGGGGUAACUUUAUUAGUUCUUUUCACUUUUUAAAAGAAAAAUAUUGCUUGUGGCCAUGAUUUUUUCCUCUGUUGCCUUCACUGUCAGAAGCAGGUAUAAUUUUGAAAUAAUGGCCACUUCAUAGACGUUUGACUAUUUUUGGCCUUGAAAACUGCCUCUUGCAUCACAUUUUGUGAUGCAAUGUUACUUGCUUGGGCAGACAGAAUGGAAACGUGCAAACAUUUUAAAAAGGAGUCAUUUUAAAGUCUUUUAAUCUUAACAAAUGCUCACUAAAUUUAAAGAAAGUCAAUGAGACUUAAUCAUUAAAAAUUGAAAGCUUAAUAAUGUAUCUUUUUUUGGUACAAAAAUCAGCCUUUCAGUGGGACCCUAGUUGCAACUCCUUGUCUGCCUUCUAAGCUGCAACAAGCUGAUAUGCGCAAUCCCUCUACAACAGAUGUCAAGGAAAAAUGCCUAUUGUCAUCCAUGAAAACAGGACUGGGCCUAUUACUAAGACUGACAUCCAUGGGAGCAAGAUCGGGCUGCAUGAUCCACAUAAAACACUGUCACUAACUUUGCUUAAUUACACUUUCUUUAACAAAGUGGGUGCAUGAAUUUUCAGGGAAAUUUAACUACAUGGAAAGUUUGAAAGGAGAGUAACAAGCUGUUUUUCAGCUAGACAAAAGAAAUGUUCGCCAAAAAUCAGAAUUUUAAAGCAUGGUGAUUUUUUAAAAUGACUGAUUCAAAAACACCUUUAUUAAUUUUCUUCAAGGUUUGCACAAGCAUUCACCUUCAUGUUGAGCAUAAAUACAACAACUCUCAGGCCACAUAAACUUUCCAAGCAAGAGCUAUAGAAAUGAUAAGAGGGCUUUUUAAUGGAAGCCAAAUUAUAGAGAGACUAAUGCCUCUCCAUAGUAAAGUCACUUUGUGUGCGUGUGUGUUCAUGCUGAUAAAAAAUGUACACAGCUUCUGUAUGUCUCAUCAAUCAGGGCUUGAAAGCAUCAGUCCUUGGCAACCUGAGAUAGAGAUCUAAACCACAUUCAUCAGCCUUCCACAAUUUACUUCUCCUUACUUCCCUUAGCUUUGAGUGACAUGGAAAAUGUGUUUUCACAAUCUAAUACGGUAUUUGGCC